This 443-nucleotide ribosomal RNA is filed under the name uncultured bacterium. RNAcentral describes it as "partial 16S ribosomal RNA". It matches the Rfam family "Bacterial small subunit ribosomal RNA", at positions 338 to 795 of the family's 1533-position model. The record is from RNAcentral.
CCUACGGGAGGCAGCAGUGGGGAAUAUUGCACAAUGGGCGGAACCCUGAUCCAGCGACGCCGCGUGAGUGAAGAAGUAUUUCGGGAUGUAAAGCUCUAUCGGCAGGGAAGAAAGCGAUGACGGUACCUGACUAAGAAGCCCCGGCUAACUACGUGCCAGCAGCCGCGGUAAUACGUAGGGGGCAAGCGUUAUCCGGAAUUACUGGGUGUAAAGGGAGCGUAGACGGCGAUGCAAGUCUGAAGUGAAAGGCGGGGGCCCAACCCCCGGACUGCGUUGGAAACUGGAUGGCUGGAGUGCAGGAGAGGUAAGUGGAAUUCCAGGUGUAGCGGUGAAAUGCGUAGAGAUUAGGAGGAACACCAGUGGCGAAGGCGGCUUACUGGACUGUAACUGACGUUGAGGUUCGAAAGCGUGGGGAGCAAACAGGAUUAGAUACCCCAGUAGUC